AUUGAACGCUGGCGGCAGGCCUAACACAUGCCAGUCGAACGGUAACAGGAAGCAGCUUGCUGCUUUGCUGACGAGUGGCGGACGGGUGAGUAAUGUCUGGGAAACUGCCUGAUGGAGGGGGAUAACUACUGGAAACGGUAGCUAAUACCGCAUAACGUCGCAAGACCAAAGAGGGGGACCUUCGGGCCUCUUGCCAUCGGAUGUGCCCAGAUGGGAUUAGCUAGUAGGUGGGGUAACGGCUCACCUAGGCGACGAUCCCUAGCUGGUCUGAGAGGAUGACAAGAAACAAUGGAACUGAGACACGGUCCAGACUCCUACGGGAGGCAGCAGGGGGGAAGAUUGAACAAGGGGGGCAAGAGGGAUGCAGCCAUACGGGGUGGGGGAAGAAGGCAUUCGGGUUGUAAAGUACUUUGGGGGGGGAGGAAGGGGAAAAAGUUAAUACCUCGGUGAUUGGAGGUUACCCAAAGAAGAAGAACCGGCUAACUCGGGG
Molecule: ribosomal RNA, 490 nt
Filed under: uncultured bacterium
Lineage: Bacteria
Description: partial 16S ribosomal RNA
Rfam family: Bacterial small subunit ribosomal RNA
Source: RNAcentral